Molecule: ribosomal RNA, 550 nt
Filed under: uncultured bacterium
Lineage: Bacteria
Description: bacterial SSU rRNA
Rfam family: Bacterial small subunit ribosomal RNA
Source: RNAcentral
UAGGGAAUCUUCGGCAAUGGACGGAAGUCUGACCGAGCAACGCCGCGUGAGUGAAGAAGUUUUUCGGAUCGUAAAGCUCUGUUGUAAGAGAAGAACGAGUGUGAGAGUGGAAAGUUCACACUGUGACGGUAUCUUACCAGAAAGGGACGGCUAACUACGUGCCAGCAGCCGCGGUAAUACGUAGGUCCCGAGCGUUGUCCGGAUUUAUUGGGCGUAAAGCGAGCGCAGGCGGUUAGAUAAGUCUGAAGUUAAAGGCUGUGGCUUAACCAUAGUAGGCUUUGGAAACUGUUUAACUUGAGUGCAAGAGGGGAGAGUGGAAUUCCAUGUGUAGCGGUGAAAUGCGUAGAUAUAUGGAGGAGCACCGGUGGCGAAAGCGGCUCUCUGGCUUGUAACUGACGCUGAGGCUCGAAAGCGUGGGGAGCAAACAGGAUUAGAUACCCUGGUAGUCCACGCUGUAAACGAUGAGUGCUAGGUGUUAGACCCUUUCCGGGGUUUAGUGCCGUAGCUAACGCAUUAAGCACUCCGCCUGGGGAGUACGACCGCAAGGUUG